GAGUAACCUGCCCCCGAGAGCGGGAUAGCCCUGGGAAACUGGGAUUAAUACCGCAUAGUAUCGAAAGAUUAAAGCAGCAAUGCGCUUGGGGAUGGGCUCGCGGCCUAUUAGUUAGUUGGUGAGGUAACGGCUCACCAAGGCGAUGACGGGUAGCCGGUCUGAGAGGAUGUCCGGCCACACUGGAACUGAGACACGGUCCAGACACCUACGGGUGGCAGCAGUCGAGAAUCAUUCACAAUGGGGGAAACCCUGAUGGUGCGACGCCGCGUGGGGGAAUGAAGGUCUUCGGAUUGUAAACCCCUGUCAUGUGGGAGCAAAUUAAAAAGAUAGUACCACAAGAGGAAGAGACGGCUAACUCUGUGCCAGCAGCCGCGGUAAUACAGAGGUCUCAAGCGUUGUUCGGAAUCACUGGGCGUAAAGCGUGCGUAGGCUGUUUCGUAAGUCGUGUGUGAAAGGCGCGGGCUCAACCCGCGGACGGCACAUGAUACUGCGAGACUAGAGUAAUGGAGGGGGAACCGGAAUUCUCGGUGUAGCAGUGAAAUGCGUAGAUAUCGAGAGGAACACUCGUGGCGAAGGCGGGUUCCUGGACAUUAACUGACGCUGAGGCACGAAGGCCAGGGGAGCGAAAGGGAUUAGAUACCCCUGUAGUCCUGGCAGUAAACGGUGCACGCUUGGUGUGCGGGGAAUCGACCCCCUGCGUGCCGGAGCUAACGCGUUAAGC
RNAcentral lists this ribosomal RNA (721 nucleotides) under uncultured bacterium. RNAcentral's name for it is "bacterial SSU rRNA". It matches the Rfam family "Bacterial small subunit ribosomal RNA", at positions 119 to 865 of the family's 1533-position model. The record is from RNAcentral.